Molecule: non-coding RNA, 1640 nt
Organism: Jatropha curcas
Lineage: Eukaryota; Viridiplantae; Streptophyta; Magnoliopsida; Malpighiales; Euphorbiaceae
Source: RefSeq, a predicted model, not a curated record
GCCGCAGUGUCCCAAAAUGCCCCUCAAGUCUCAACUCAACCUCUACGCACUCACUCUCUCGCCCACUCCCAUUAACAAAACGCUCAAAAAGUACACUCUUAUUUACCGCAAAAUCGCCAAAAAUUGGUGGAAACGGUGAAAAAUCUCAGUAAUCAUCCUUGCUUCUCGAGCUUGGCAUCCCCGAUUACUGGCCGGAAUACAACACCAUGCAACCGGCAGAGACCAUUUCCCGGUCUCCUCUCGACAAACCGCUCCAACAACUCACUGAAGACGACAUUUCUCAGCUCACUCGCGAAGAUUGCCGACGAUACCUCAAAGAGAAAGGUAUGAGACGGCCGUCCUGGAACAAAUCGCAGGCAAUUCAGCAAGUGAUCUCUCUCAAAACGCUUCUUGAAACGACGCCGGAUUGGAAUGGCAAUGAACCUCGAAGAAGACUCUACAUUCCCCGCCCGGAUAAUCCUAAUCGCGCCCCUGCAAUUUCCCCUGUUUCCUUGAAGGAAACGCGCGCCGACACUCGGAUCACCCCGUCGCCUGAGGAACUGGUUCCAUACAGGCGACUUGAUCCUCCAAAGCAUGAUGUUCCCGGUGAUCCUUCGGUCCAUCACUUAGCCAAGGAGAACGACUUGGUUUCCCCUAGGACUAAAGGUGCAGCAAAUGAGCCCAUAGGUCAAAUGACUAUUUUUUACUGUGGAAAGGUCAAUGUGUAUGAUGAUGUACCAAGUGACAAGGCACAAACAAUAAUGCAGCUUGCUGCAUACCCACUCUCAUUGUCUCUGGAAACUUCAACUGACAUGGUUCCAGCAUUAUGCCCCAUUCCACGCCAGUUGGAAAGUCCAGGUGUCAAACCUGCUGCUCCAGUGAUGAUCUUUUCAACCCUGAAUACAGGGAAAGUGGCAGAAAACUGUCAGCUGCCCAGGGAGGAGUGCAACAUAUCUCAUGAAGACAACCUAGAGGGCCCAACCAGUAGAAAGGCAUCAGUACAGAGAUAUCUUGAGAAGCGAAAGGAUAGGUAUCUUGAAAUUGAUAAUUUGCUAUUUAUGGCAACAAAAUAAUUGUCGUUGUAUAUUUUGCUUUGUUAUUUGCCCCUCAUAUCCCUGUUAGGUGAAGGUUCAAGAACAAGAGAAAGACAGCAAUGCCUUCAUCUCCUAGGUCAGACAUCAACUUAAAUCGAGCGAGAGAGCAGUGCUCAAAUGAUCAAUGCAACCUAACUGAUGCAUCUUCUCCUCCCCAACCCAGACACCAGACAGCCUCAAACACCUAGCUGGUGCAGCUCUGUUGAGAAUGCAGCAAAGCAUCCCAAUCUCUCUGCUGAUCUCGAUGACAAAGAUACCCAAGAAUGUCGAAUACGGCAAGAUCAAGAAUCAGAGUCUCCAGUUCUAUUUUCUGAUAUCAACAGCUCGUCCAGAAGAGUUGGUACCACAAGGUAAAGCCUGUUGUAGAAGUUGCGGCCUUCUGUUAGAUAAUAGUUAAGAGUUAACAAAUUCCCAAUCUUCGAGUUAUCAACAUUUCCCCCUUUAUUUUUAUCUCUUAGUAUCUAGAGACUAUAAAGUAAUGGGAGCUGUUGCUCUAUGGUGAUGAUAAAAGCAGCUUGUAAAAUAGCACCUUUGAUGAAGAAAUUUAAAUUGGUUGAUUUUGAACCA